CCUACGGGGGGCAGCAGUGAGGAAUAUUGGUCAAUGGACGAGAGUCUGAACCAGCCAAGUAGCGUGAAGGAUGACUGCCCUAUGGGUUGUAAACUUCUUUUAUAGGGGAAUAAAAUGUGCCACGUGUGGGAUUUUGUAUGGACCAUAUGAAUAAGGAUCGGCUAACUCCGUGCCAGCAGCCGCGGUAAUACGGAGGAUCCGUGCGUUAUCCGGAUUUAUUGGGUUUAAAGGGAGCGGAGGUGGCUUGUUAAGUCAGUUGUGAAAGUUUGCGGCUCAACCGGCAAAUUGCAGUUGAAACUGGCAGUCUUGAGUACAGUUGCGGUGGGCGGACUUCGUGUUGUAGCGGU
Molecule: ribosomal RNA, 347 nt
Filed under: uncultured bacterium
Lineage: Bacteria
Description: partial 16S ribosomal RNA
Rfam family: Bacterial small subunit ribosomal RNA
Source: RNAcentral